RNAcentral lists this ribosomal RNA (509 nucleotides) under uncultured bacterium. Its description in RNAcentral is "bacterial SSU rRNA". It matches the Rfam family "Bacterial small subunit ribosomal RNA", at positions 36 to 507 of the family's 1533-position model. The record is from RNAcentral.
CUGGCGGCGUGCCUAAUACAUGCAAGUCGAACGCACUCUCGUUUAGAUUGAAGGAGCUUGCUCCUGAUUGAUAAACAUUGAGUGAGUGGCGGACGGGUGAGUAACACGUGGGUAACCUGCCCUAAAGUGGGGGAUAACAUUUGGAAACAGAUGCUAAUACCGCAUAAAACCUAACACCGCAUGGUGUAGGGUUGAAAGAUGGUUUCGGCUAUCACUUUAGGAUGGACCCGCGGUGCAUUAGUUAGUUGGUGAGGUAAAGGCUCACCAAGACCGUGAUGCAUAGCCGACCUGAGAGGGUAAUCGGCCACACUGGGACUGAGACACGGCCCAGACUCCUACGGGAGGCAGCAGUAGGGAAUCUUCCACAAUGGACGAAAGUCUGAUGGAGCAACGCCGCGUGAGUGAAGAAGGUUUCGGAUCGUAAACUCUGUUGUUGGAGAAGAAUGUAUCUGAUAGUAACUGAUCAGGUAGUGACGGUAUCCAACCAGAAAGCCACGGCUAACUACGUG